Molecule: RNA transcript, 1775 nt
Organism: Oncorhynchus gorbuscha (pink salmon)
Lineage: Eukaryota; Metazoa; Chordata; Actinopteri; Salmoniformes; Salmonidae
Gene name: obg-like ATPase 1
Exons: 11
Source: RefSeq, a predicted model, not a curated record
GUUUAAGGGUGAGGCGUUAGCCAGUGUGAGUGAGGUCGACUGAACUUGCUGUUAGCUAGACCGCUAUUAGCUUCUUCUCCAGAGCUUACAUUACCAGCAAUAUAUGUUUUUUUUUCACUCUAAGUUGUGAGUAGAUUUAGUAGGCAGUGAAAACUGAAGAAAAGGACAUGGCUCCCAAGAAGCAGAAGGGAGGUGAUGGACAGCAGCCACCACCACUGAUUGGACGGUUUGGGACUUCUUUGAAAAUAGGAAUCGUCGGAUUGCCCAAUGUAGGGAAGUCAACCUUUUUCAACGUACUGACAAAGAGUCAAGCUGCAGCUGAGAAUUUCCCCUUCUGCACCAUUGACCCAAAUGAAAGCCGAGUGCCCAUUCCAGAUGAACGCUACGAUUUCCUGUGCCAAUUCCACAAGCCUGUCAGCAAGGUGCCGGCCUUCCUGAACGUGGUAGACAUAGCAGGACUGGUGAAGGGAGCUCACGCUGGCCAGGGUCUGGGCAACGCCUUCCUGUCCCAUAUCAGUGCCUGCGAUGGCAUCUUCCACAUGACACGUGCAUUUGAGGAUGAGGACAUUGUCCAUGUGGAGGGGAACGUGGACCCAGUGAGGGACAUUGAGAUCAUCCAUGAGGAGCUGAGGCUGAAGGAUGAGGAGAUGAUCGGGCCCAUUAUGGAGAAGCUGGAGAAGGUGGCCGUGAGGGGAAGCGACAAGAAACUCAAACCUGAAUACGACGUAAUGCUCAAAAUCAAGAACUGGGUCGCGGAUGAAAAGAAACAUGUCCGCUACUGUCGCGAUUGGACUGAGAAGGAGAUCGAAGUGUUGAACAAAUACUUGUUUUUGACAUCCAAGCCAAUGAUUUACCUCAUUAACCUCUCAGAGAAAGACUACAUCAGAAGAAAGAACAAAUGGUUGGUGAAAAUCAAGGAGUGGGUGGACAGUCAUGACCCCGGGGGCGCUGGUCAUCCCCUUCAGCGGAGGAGUGGAGAGUGUCCUGCAGGACAUGAGUGAAGAGGAGAUUCAGAAGUACUGCACCGAGCACAAGGCUCAGAGCGUUCUGACAAGGAUCAUCAAGGCUGGCUAUGGAGCCCUACAGUUGGAGUACUUCUUCACAGCUGGACCAGACGAGGUCCGUGCGUGGACCAUCCGGAAAGGAACCAAGGCUCCACAGGCAGCCGGCAAGAUCCACACGGACUUUGAGAAGGGCUUCAUUAUGGCUGAAGUAAUGAAAUUUGAGGAUUUUAAAGAGGGAGGCAGUGAGAACGCUGUCAAGGCAUCGGGGAAAUACAGACAACAGGGGAAAACCUACAUUGUGGAGGACGGAGACGUCAUCUUUUUCAAAUUCAACACGCCGAACCAGCCCAAGACUAAGAAGUGACUCCGUCACAGUCUGUUGGCUACCAGAAUGGACUGUGCCGUUAGAUAAUUCCUCUUCUUUGUUUUAGACAGAAUGAAGCUGGAGAUUGUGAUUGAUACCUGCCAGGUCGGCUCAGUCCUACCUACUGCCCACUCUGCCACAUUAUCCCUGUUUGUUUUUGGUUCAGGAGAAUUCCAUACAGUCCCCCUUGCCAAAGAAAAGGUCCACUAAACGUUGACAGCUUUUGGUAGGAGCAUUUGAAGAAGCGUAUUACUCUCUUGAUACUUCAUUAAUCUCCAUCACUGGUGCCAGGCCUGACACAGCUGACAGCAGGGACAAUGCGACCUGCUCCUCUCCUCUUUCCGGAGAUAAUGCAUGUUUUACAGUAGCCCAGAUGUCUAUACUCAAUAAAACAUUUGACAAAACCA